This 542-nucleotide ribosomal RNA is filed under the name uncultured bacterium. RNAcentral describes it as "bacterial SSU rRNA". It matches the Rfam family "Bacterial small subunit ribosomal RNA", at positions 299 to 852 of the family's 1533-position model. The record is from RNAcentral.
GGGAGGGGGCCACAGGGGGUCUUCGGGAGGCAGCAGUAGUGAAUCUUAGGCAAUGGACGAUAGUCUGACGGAGCAACGCGUCGUGAGUGAAGAAGGCUUUGGGGUCGUAAAACUUUGUUGUUAGGGAAGACCCAUUGCUAGUUGAAUAACCUGGCACCUUGACGGUACCUAACCAGAAAGCCACGGUUAUAUAUAGGCCACCAGCCGCGUUAAUACUUAGUUGGCAAGCGUUAUCCGCAAUUAUUGGGCGUAAAGCGCGAGCAGGUGGUUUGUUAAGUCUGAUGUGAAAGCCCACGGAUCAACAGAGGAGGGUCAUUGGAAACUAGGAGAAUUGAGUUCAGAAGAGGAAAGUGGAAGUCCAUGUGUAGCGGUGAAAUGUGUAGAGAUAUGGAGGAACACCAGUGGCGAAGGCGACUUUGUGGUAUGUAACGGACAAUGAGGCUCGAAAGCGUGGGGAGCAAACAGGAUUAGAUACCCUGGUAGUCCACUCCGUAAACGAUGAGUGCUAAGUGUUAGAGGGUAUCCGCCCUCAGUCCUGAAGU